This 484-nucleotide ribosomal RNA is filed under the name uncultured bacterium. RNAcentral describes it as "partial 16S ribosomal RNA". It matches the Rfam family "Bacterial small subunit ribosomal RNA", at positions 30 to 507 of the family's 1533-position model. The record is from RNAcentral.
AUUGAACGCUGGCGGCAGGCCUAACACAUGCAAGUCGAGCGGAUGAAGGGAGCUUGCUCCUGGAUUCAGCGGCGGACGGGUGAGUAAUGCCUAGGAAUCUGCCUGGUAGUGGGGGAUAACGUCCGGAAACGGGCGCUAAUACCGCAUACGUCCUGAGGGAGAAAGUGGGGGAUCUUCGGACCUCACGCUAUCAGAUGAGCCUAGGUCGGAUUAGCUAGUUGGUGGGGUAAAGGCCUACCAAGGCGACGAUCCGUAACUGGUCUGAGAGGAUGAUCAGUCACACUGGAACUGAGACACGGUCCAGACUUCUACGGGAGGCAGCAGUGGGGAAUAUUGGACAAAGGGCGAAAGCCUGAUCCAGCCAUGCCGCGUGUGUGAAGAAGGUCUUCGGAUUGUAAAGCACUUUAAGUUGGGAGGAAGGGCAGUAAGUUAAUACCUUGCUGUUUUGACGUUACCAACAGAAUAAGCACCGGCUAACUUCGUG